RNAcentral lists this small nuclear RNA (59 nucleotides) under Loxodonta africana (African savanna elephant). The record is from RNAcentral. Lineage: Eukaryota; Metazoa; Chordata; Mammalia; Proboscidea; Elephantidae.
GUGUUCGCUUCGGCAGCACAUGCACUAAAAUUGGAACGAUACAGAGAAGAUUAGCAUGG